CCUACGGGUGGCUGCAGUAGGGAAUAUUGGUCAUGGGCGAAAGCCUGAACCAGCCACGCCCCGUGUGCGAUGAAGGCCUUCGGGUUGUAAAGCACUUUUUGAGGGGAUGAGGUAGGACAGUACCCUCAGAAUAAGUCUCGGCUAACUACGUGCCAGCAGCCGCGGUAACACGUCGGAGACAAGCGUUAUUCGGAUUUACUGGGCGUAAAGCGCGUGCAGGGGGUCUGGUAAGUUGGAUGUGAAAGCUCCCGGCUCAACGGGGAGAGGUCGUUCAAUACUGUCAGACUCGAGAGUGGGAGAGGGAGGUGGAAUUCCGGGUGUAGUGGUGAAAUGCGUAGAUAUCCGGAGGAACACCAGUGGCGAAAGCGGCCUCCUGGCCCAUUUCUGACGCUUAGACGCGAAAGCUAGGGUAGCAAACGGGAUUAGAUACCCGGGUAGUC
RNAcentral lists this ribosomal RNA (440 nucleotides) under uncultured bacterium. RNAcentral's name for it is "partial 16S ribosomal RNA". It matches the Rfam family "Bacterial small subunit ribosomal RNA", at positions 338 to 795 of the family's 1533-position model. The record is from RNAcentral.